RNAcentral lists this ribosomal RNA (595 nucleotides) under uncultured bacterium. Its description in RNAcentral is "bacterial SSU rRNA". It matches the Rfam family "Bacterial small subunit ribosomal RNA", at positions 8 to 596 of the family's 1533-position model. The record is from RNAcentral.
AGAGUUUGAUCCUGGCUCAGGAUGAACGCUAGCGGCAGGCUUAAUACAUGCAAGUCGAGGGGCAGCAUGGUGUAGCAAUACACUGAUGGCGACCGGCAAACGGGUGCGGAACACGUACGCAACUUACCCAAAACUGGGGAAUAGCCCGGGGAAACCCGGAUUAAUACCUCGUAACAUAAUUGAGUGGCAUCACUUGAUUAUUAUAGCUCCGGCGGUUUUGGAUGGGCGUGCGACUGAUUAGGUAGUUGGCGGGGUAACGGCCCACCAAGCCUACGAUCAGUAACUGGUGUGAGAGCACGACCAGUCACACGGGCACUGAGACACGGGCCCGACUCCUACGGGAGGCAGCAGUAAGGAAUAUUGGUCAAUGGACGCAAGUCUGAACCAGCCAUGCCGCGUGAAGGACGAAGGUCCUCUGGAUUGUAAACUUCUUUUAUAUGGGACGAAACCCUCGGAUUCCUCCGGGAUUGACGGUACCAUAGGAAUAAGCACCGGCUAACUCCGUGCCAGCAGCCGCGGUAAUACGGAGGGUGCAAGCGUUAUCCGGAUUCACUGGGUUUAAAGGGUGCGUAGGAGGGCAGGUAAGUCAGUGGUG